UGAUAAUUGAAAGCUUGAGACGCUCUCGUAAAACUCUCAGACGAUUUAGAUCGGUCAUUUUUAGUUAUACGUGUUUUGAUUGGCUCGCGCUGUAUUGUGGUCCAAUGAAUAUCACGCUAUCGGAAACAAAAAUUCUACAUGUAGACGAUAUUUUUAGAAGGGAAUUCCUACCGGAAGUAUUCUCCGGUUCCGUUUUACAUACAUUGACAUAGAGCGGAACGGGGAACCACGCACGUGUUGCGAGAGAACACUUCCGAUUUAGGAAUUUCUACAUGUAGAAUUUAUCUUAGAAUACAGGCACAUAGGACUUAGUGUCACUCGUGGAGGAUAAAACCAUUUAAAAAUGGGCCAUGGAUACUAUUAGACGACACUUUGAAUGACAUCUACAAAAUGCCAAUUCAACAAAAAGCUUGGCUAUUGUCUUUGAUAUGUUGUCAUACAUGUAUCUGAUAGAAAAUAAACAGUAUUUGAUUGACAAGGGUGUCAUUUUACAAAUAGAAGUGUUUGCACUUUUUAUGUGAACCAGUGUAUCAAAAGUGCAAUUCAAAAUUAUAGAUUUUGUUAAAUUGUACAAUAGUGUCAAAAUAUAAACUUUGUUAUACUGUAAGAGCUUCAAGAUGUCAGCUCUACAAUUGUUAAUUCAAUGAAAUGUGCAGUAUUUAAUGCACGAAUAUCAAAUAGUGAAAAACAAGUCUAGAUUUUUAAAUAAAACUUUGAAAGCCA
This is a long non-coding RNA of Ruditapes philippinarum (Manila clam), 723 nucleotides long. RefSeq lists it as uncharacterized. The record is from RefSeq and is a predicted model, not a curated record. NCBI's taxonomy places the organism in Eukaryota, Metazoa, Mollusca, Bivalvia, Venerida, Veneridae. The transcript has 2 exons.